GUGCUCACUUCAGCAGCAUAUAUACUCAAAUUGGAGUUAUGCAGAAGGAAUUAACAUGGCCCCUGAACAAGGAUGACACACAAAUUCAUGAUACAUUCCAUAUGUUG
This is a small nuclear RNA of Oryctolagus cuniculus (rabbit), 107 nucleotides long. The record is from Ensembl. NCBI's taxonomy places the organism in Eukaryota, Metazoa, Chordata, Mammalia, Lagomorpha, Leporidae.